UAGGGUUCCUUCUGAUACACAUGCAGUCGAACGAUGAAGCCGCUUCGGUGGUGGAUUAGUGGCGAACGGGUGAGUAACACGUGGGCAAUCUGCCCUGCACUCUGGGACAAGCCCUGGAAACGGGGUCUAAUACCGGAUACGACACAGGAAGGCAUCUUCUCUGUGUGGAAAGCUCCGGCGGUGCAGGAUGAGCCCGCGGCCUAUCAGCUUGUUGGUGGGGUGAUGGCCUACCAAGGCGACGACGGGUAGCCGGCCUGAGAGGGCGACCGGCCACACUGGGACUGAGACACGGCCCAGACUCCUACGGGAGGCAGCAGUGGGGAAUAUUGCACAAUGGGCGAAAGCCUGAUGCAGCGACGCCGCGUGAGGGAUGACGGCCUUCGGGUUGUAAACCUCUUUCAGCAGGGAAGAAGCGCAAGUGACGGUACCUGCAGAAGAAGCACCGGCUAACUACGUGCCAGCAGCCGCGGUAAUACGUAGGGUGCGAGCGUUGUCCGGAAUUAUUGGGCGUAAAGAGCUCGUAGGCGGCUUGUCACGUCGGAUGUGAAAGCCCGGGGCUUAACCCCGGGUCUGCAUUCGAUACGGGCAGGCUAGAGUUCGGUAGGGGAGAUCGGAAUUCCUGGUGUAGCGGUGAAAUGCGCAGAUAUCAGGAGGAACACCGGUGGCGAAGGCGGAUCUCUGGGCCGAUACUGACGCUGAGGAGCGAAAGCGUGGGGAGCGAACAGGAUUAGAUACCCUGGUAGUCCACGCCGUAAACGUUGGGAACUAGGUGUGGGCGACAUUCCACGUCGUCCGUGCCGCAGCUAACGCAUUAAGUUCCCCGCCUGGGGAGUACGGCCGCAAGGCUAAAACUCAAAGGAAUUGACGGGGCCCGCACAAGCGGCGGAGCAUGUGGCUUAAUUCGACGCACGCGAGACCUUACCAAGGCUUGACAUACAUCGGAAAGCCGUAGAGAUACGCCCCCUUGUGGUCGUGUACAGUGUGCAUGCUGUCGUCAGCUCGUGUCGUGAGAUGUGGUAGUCCCGCACGAGCGCACCCUUAUCUGUGUGCAGCAUGCUUUCGGGUGAUGGGGACUCACAGGAGACUGGCCGGGUCCACUCGAGAAGUUGACCACCGUCAAGUUACUCAUGCCUUAUAUGUCUUGGGCUGGCACACGUGGU
Molecule: ribosomal RNA, 1160 nt
Filed under: Streptomyces xinghaiensis
Lineage: Bacteria; Bacillati; Actinomycetota; Actinomycetes; Kitasatosporales; Streptomycetaceae
Description: bacterial SSU rRNA
Rfam family: Bacterial small subunit ribosomal RNA
Source: RNAcentral